Molecule: long non-coding RNA, 1384 nt
Organism: Musca domestica (house fly)
Lineage: Eukaryota; Metazoa; Arthropoda; Insecta; Diptera; Muscidae
Exons: 2
Source: RefSeq, a predicted model, not a curated record
AAGAAAGUAAAUUUACUGCUGUUAUAUUCUCUUUGAUUUACUAUAGUUUCGUCGAAAAUGUGUUUAAAUUUCAUGUAGAUUAAACCCAAACUGGUCUUGUUGGUAGGGUUGUUUGCAAUAUUUUUUAUAACUGUCGGUUGUGACACUUAAAUUUUAUUAAUUCCUUUGCGGUAAGAUACUGAGAACGUUGUUCUGGUAGUAACAUCACAGCUAGUGCGUAGAUUGCCUGCACAGGUGUUGACGGUGUUAGACCAAGAUUUCUUCUUAACAUCUGAUUUUGAAAAGUUGUAAGUUUUUUGUUCAAAUACGUUGGCAUGUGAGCCAUUGAAGAAAUACAAUACUCUGUGUUUAAUUUAGAUUGGUAAUUAUUGUUUUGUAACGUUAACAAUGGGUUAACGCAUAAUUAAUUUGUAAAUGAUUAACCUCGUUUAGAUCUGUCAACAUAAAUGUAAACAGAUUUCAACGAAUGGCGAAUGGCGCCAAAGCCUCCACCUUCCUUCAUGUCUUGAUCGUUGGUUUUUUUACACUCGUCUCUUCUAUCUCUCGAUACGAAGUCGCGCUCCCCCGCUAUUGUGCAAAUCAGGUAAUCUGUCUUACCACUUAUUAUUAUUUAUUAUUAUUAUUAAUAAAUACGGCCUUUGCCAUUAUUCUUAAAACUAAAACCCCCCUAUUGUGUUUUUAUUCUAUUUUGUUUGGUUGAGCUUUGCAUCUUUCCCCGCAUUGGCGCAAACAUUGGUCCAUUCGUACCGGAUUACGAACGAGCUGUUGGUAGAAGAAGUAAUCGUUUUCUUCUUUUUUUCUUUAAUUGCAAAACUAAACAUCAUCAUCACCAUCAAUACAGUCCACCACAUCAUCUUCUUAUCAUCAUCAUCGUGUUUCCAUUAAGAACAAACAGUAUGUCGGUGAAAAUCUAUUCGGAAGAAGAACUUUUGAAUGUUGAUGACGGUUUUGAUUACACUGAACCUCGGCCCACCGAUCCCCAAGCUGGAAUGUCGUCAGCUGCAGUGGAAGCAGCCCUUGUUGAGCCGAUCGCGGCUGUAAAAAUCUCAGAACGUGGGUCCGAAUCCGAUAAAGCGGAUUCAUCUGCGGCCCUCGCUGAACCGAAUCCAUAGCAACGGAUUCAUCUGCGGCUCCGGUUCUUGAUUCACCCCCCAAAAAUGAUACAUUACAAACCGAGUCCGGAUCUUCGGGUCCAUCUGCGGCUCCGGUUGCCACACCUCAUUUGGAGGAGUCGGAAAAGAAUUUAAAGUCCGAAACCCAUAAGGUUGCAUCUGCGGCCUCACAUAAAUGUCGACUUUGUGAUCGCAUGCACCCGCUGGAUAGAUGUAGUGACUUCCGGGUUAUGAAUGUUCACAUGCGACGUCGCAUUGUCCUAAAAUACAAU